Paralichthys olivaceus (Japanese flounder) is the source of this 355-nucleotide non-coding RNA. The record is from RefSeq and is a predicted model, not a curated record. NCBI's taxonomy places the organism in Eukaryota, Metazoa, Chordata, Actinopteri, Pleuronectiformes, Paralichthyidae.
UCGAGGGCCACAUCGUGAUAGAAGCCAAACAGCAGCACCGAUGCCUCCAGCUGAGCUCGACGCCGGUCAAGAGGCUUCUGGAGAGAUUUGAAUCUGCAGCAAAGAGCUCGUUAAAUCAACAUCGUCUGGUUCAGUCUCCUCCACCGGCUGCUAAGCUGAGUCGUCUUUCUGCUGAUGCUCUGACUGUUGUAGUGCUCUUCGGCAAGCAUCUCCUGUCCCAGCUGAACACACAGAUACACAAGCAUGCAAGAUGUGUAAGGAAAGUGACAGGGUUGAUGGACCAUGAAACGGAUCAAAGAGAAGCAUCCUCACCCCGACGUCUUUGACCCUUAGUCGGGCUUCAUGUCCGGACAAC